GAUGAAGAACGCAGCGAAAUGCGAUACGUAAUGUGAAUUGCAGAAUUCAGUGAAUCAUCGAAUCUUUGAACGCAUAUUGCGCUCUCUGGUAUUCCGGAGAGCAUGCUUGUUUGAGUAUCAGUAAACACCUCAACUUCCAUAUCUUUUUUGAAAUGGGAGUUGGACUUGAGUGAUCCCAACGCUUUUCCUCACCGAAAAGUGGCGGGUUACUUGAAAUGCAGGUGCAGCUGGACUUUUCUCUGAGCUAUAAGCAUAUCUAUUUAGUCUGCCUAAAAAACAGAUUAUUACCUUUGCUGCAGCUAACAUAAAGGAGAUUAGUUCUUGUGCUGACUGAUGCAGGAUUCACAAAGACAGGCUUCGGCCGACUUUGUAAACUCGAUCUCAAAUCAAGUAAGACUACCCGCUGAACUUAAGAAUAUCAAUAAGCGGAGGA
Molecule: unclassified non-coding RNA, 433 nt
Filed under: soil metagenome
Description: partial contains 5.8S ribosomal RNA, internal transcribed spacer 2, and large subunit ribosomal RNA
Rfam family: 5.8S ribosomal RNA (bases 1-120)
Source: RNAcentral